Molecule: RNA transcript, 2774 nt
Organism: Oryzias melastigma (Indian medaka)
Lineage: Eukaryota; Metazoa; Chordata; Actinopteri; Beloniformes; Adrianichthyidae
Gene: cdk20
Gene name: cyclin-dependent kinase 20
Exons: 9
Source: RefSeq, a predicted model, not a curated record
UACCGACUGGUUACCGAGGCAACACCAGCGCUCACUUCCGGUCUCGUUCCUCACAAAAUGUCGCGUUUGUUUGUGUUGGUCGGAUCCCACAUUUAACAACCCGUGGAUUAAGCUGUAAUAGAGGGACCGAACUCCAACUCCAUCACAGCCCCGCAGGAGUCUGGGAUCAUGGAGCAGUACAGCAUCCUCGGCCGGAUCGGAGAAGGGGCUCACGGGAUCGUGUUUAAGGCUAAACACCUGCAGACUGGAGAAACGGUGGCUCUUAAGAAGGUGGCUCUGAGGAGGCUGGAGGAUGGCAUUCCCAACCAGGCUCUGAGGGAGAUCAAGGCUCUGCAGGAGAUCGAGGACAACGAGCACGUGGUAAAGUUGAAGGACGUCUUUCCUCACGGCACAGGCUUUGUCCUGGUCUUCAACUUCAUGCUGUCGGAUCUCUCUGAAGUGAUCAGAAACCACCAGCAACAUCUGACCCCAGCACAGGUCAAAGGUUACAUGGUGAUGCUGCUGAAGGGUGUGGCCUUUCUACACCAAAACAACAUCAUGCAUCGGGACUUGAAACCAGCCAACCUCCUCAUCAGCUCCUCUGGUCACCUGAAGAUUGCAGACUUUGGUUUGGCCAGGCUCUUCAGCUUACAGGGCAGCCGGCUCUACAGCCACCAGGUGGCCACCAGGUGGUACCGAGCUCCCGAGCUGCUGUAUGGAGCCCGCCGCUACAACCAGGGAGUGGACCUGUGGGCGGUGGGUUGCAUCUUUGGCGAGCUCCUGAACUCGUCUCCUCUGUUCCCAGGAGAGAAUGACAUCGAGCAGCUCUGCUGCGUCCUGCGGGUCCUGGGAACGCCCACGGCGGAAAGCUGGCCGGAGAUGUUGGAACUUCCAGACUACAACAAAAUCACCUUUAAGGAGAAUCCUGCCAUCCCAUUGGAGGAGAUUGUCCCGGACACGCCCCCUCAAGCCAUCCACCUGCUCUACAGGUUCCUGGUGUAUCCAUCCAACCAGCGCUGCUCUGCCAGUGAGGCUUUGCUCCAUCCAUACUUCUUCUCCUCCCCGCUUCCUGCCCACCACUCCGAGCUGCCCAUCCCUCAGCGGGGGGGUAGACCCCCACACCAGCACCAGCAGGCUCCGGCUCCAGACUUCUCAGUGAAUCUGCCCCUGCAGAACAGCGUGGUGGCCCCGGCGUUGCUUAAGCCCCGGGCGUUGCUGCUGCCCUCCUGAGGCUGUCACUCAGACACCUGCAGGAACCUCCUACUGCUCUCCUCUCAGUUAGCAGAGACUCCUCGUGAUAGUUCUGCAUCGACGUCUUCUUUUCCUUCUCAGGUCAAACAUGAGAGGACAACAAAACUCCAGAAGGAUUUCUAAAAAAGAACUUUCUAAAAUGAAGGUGGAAUAUUCCUCCUCUUCUUCACUCUCCUUCAGAUUUCCUCCAUGAAGAAUAUCUGUAGUUCCUCUGUAGCUGACUGUGUGACUGAGGGUGUAUUCAGACGGAAGAGUCUGUUGGUCCGGACCGAGUCUGCCUCAUCUGGUCCGGAUGGAGUCCUGAACCGUGCGUCUGGUAUGUAUUCAGACUGCUGUCAGUACAAGACGUUGUGCUGCUGCUUCGGUACGGUGGAGGCGCGCUGAGGGCGGUUACUGAGGAGACGACAAUUAAGAAGCUACUCUGAUAAAUGUUAAUGAAGUUUAGAUUAUCAGGAAAACAGGAGAAUCAAUGUGGAUCAAACUUUUUAAUGAACCUGCAUUCAUCCGACCACAUUUCAGGGAGUCGCUGUUGCAUCACUGCUCCGGGUUUGUCUACGGCUCUCUGUUUACAUCCCAUAAUACCCGGUUACAGUGGCUGUUUGGGUCCAGUCGUCCCGCUCAGAGCAUGGAGCCUAUUCAGACAGAGGAAACUCUAGCGAACCAAAGUUCAGUCUGAUUGGAAACGAACUGAGAAACCUUUAAAGAUGGAUAACAGAGCGGAUCCAUGCCCUGGACCAGGAUCCACAAUCAGGAUCUGGAUUCAGGUCUUGGAACAAGAUCCCGUCCUUGACCAGGAUCCAGGAUUGCCCCAGUGAUUUUAUUGGCUUUUGCCUUUAUGUACAGCGUCCUUAAGUUUUUUUUAAGACUCUUUCAAAUAAAACAGAUUUGUAAUAUGUGCUUGUAAAACAGGAUGUGUGUAUCUGUGCAAGUAAAAAAACAUUUUUAUUAUGAUCACAAAGACAUGAAUUUCUGAGGUUCUAGGGAGCGUGCUUAAGCCUCAACUCUGGAGGGCGUGAACAAAAAGAUGACACUUUCAGCAUCAUGGUGCAGCAGCCUGAAGCAAAGCUAGAAAUGUGCACACUCAGACUCCAACAUCUGUAAUGGAAAGAAAAAGAAAGGUGCAGAACAAGACAUGCUUGUGGAUUAUUCGUGUUUUCACAGUAAAUCAGUGAAACGCUGCAAAGUUCUUCACAAAUCUUGACACAUUUGAUGAAAACAACAUCAGGCCGUAAACAACCUGCAGGGUGUAAAAUGCUGGCCGGGAAAGCAUACAUGGAGCACCACAAUCAAGCAGAUGGAAAAAUAUACAGGAACAUGUGCAGAAUAUGGACUGGAAACGCCUCUGAAAUUGGCUCCUUCCUUUCCCCACACAUAGGGCUCAGUAUCACUAAUAAUUUCCAGAAAUGAUUCAAUUCUGAUUUUUUUUUAAUGUAUUCUUUCAAUCCUUUCAAUUCAUUGAGUGUACACAUUUCUACACAUUUGAUUAGAAAUACAUUAAUAAACUACUAUAUGUUUUGAAUAGGGCUGCACGGUGGCGCAGUGGU